UGAGGAAUAUUGGUCAAUGGGCGAGAGCCUGAACCAGCCAAGUCGCGUGAGGGAAGACGGUCCUAUGGAUUGUAAACCUCUUUUGCCGGGGAGCAAAGAGCGGCACGUGUGCCGCGCCGAGAGUACCCGGAGAAAAAGCAUCGGCUAACUCCGUGCCAGCAGCCGCGGUAAUACGGAGGAUGCGAGCGUUAUCCGGAUUUAUUGGGUUUAAAGGGUGCGCAGGCGGCGCGUUAAGUCAGCGGUAAAAUUUCGGGGCUCAACCCGCACGAGCCGUUGAAACUGGCGUGCUAGAGUGGGCGAGAAGUAUGCGGAAUGCGUGGUGUAGCGGUGAAAUGCAUAGAUAUCACGCAGAACUCCGAUUGCGAAGGCAGCAUACCGGCGCCCAACUGACGCUCAUGCACGAAAGCGUGGGUAUCGAACAGGAUUAGAUACC
This 433-nucleotide ribosomal RNA is filed under the name uncultured bacterium. Its description in RNAcentral is "bacterial SSU rRNA". It matches the Rfam family "Bacterial small subunit ribosomal RNA", at positions 355 to 786 of the family's 1533-position model. The record is from RNAcentral.